CACGUAGGCACCAAGCGUUGUCCGGAUUUAUUGGGCGUAAAGAGCUCGUAGGCGGUUCAGUAAGUCAGGUGUGAAAUCUUUGGGCUUAACCCAAAGCGUGCACUUGAUACUGCUGGGACUUGAGUUCGGUAGGGGAGUGGGGAAUUCCUAGUGUAGCGGUGAAAUGCGCAGAUAUUAGGAGGAACACCGGUGGCGAAGGCGCCACUCUGGGCCGAAACUGACGCUGAGGAGCGAAAGCGUGGGUAGCAAACAGG
This 254-nucleotide ribosomal RNA is filed under the name uncultured bacterium. Its description in RNAcentral is "partial 16S ribosomal RNA". It matches the Rfam family "Bacterial small subunit ribosomal RNA", at positions 524 to 776 of the family's 1533-position model. The record is from RNAcentral.